Long non-coding RNA from Hemiscyllium ocellatum (epaulette shark), 963 nucleotides. RefSeq lists it as uncharacterized. Lineage: Eukaryota; Metazoa; Chordata; Chondrichthyes; Orectolobiformes; Hemiscylliidae. The transcript is spliced from 3 exons. The record is from RefSeq and is a predicted model, not a curated record.
GCCAUCUUGAUGGAAUGAAAAAUGUUUGUCACAAGGAAUUUUCACCAUGUGGCAUAUUCAAUGCAAUGGAUCAAAAAGUGUCUUCACAAGAAGUGGCUCCAGAAGAGCUUCCUUGUGACAUUUUCCUGCAGACCAGCAUGUACAGUGAGGAGCUCAAUAAAAGACUCAACCACGGUUGUCAGUGAGACACCCAGAAAUAGACAAGUAUUGGUCAAGGAAUUGUAAAGUCUGAGCCGAAGUUGAAUGCCAAGUUUGUGUAUCGUUGUAUCCAUAAGUUUUAAAAUAUAUACAUCCAAGUCAUUUACUGACUAACAGCUCCAACAGUGCUCGGAGCUCUUCAAAUCAAUUGCUGCAAUCAGCUGUGAUAAUAAUCAAUUUGCAAACAUUUAAUGAAUGGCAUUUGGUUUAAUAAAUAGGAUAGCUUCAUAUUUUAUCUCCCAACACUUGAGCAACACAAAACACUUUUGGGUUGUUUUGAAUGAAAAAUAUAUUUUACUUCUGAGGGAAACAAAGAAGUUACAAUAAGGUUGUCCUUUGCUUCAGCACAGUUCAGGCUGUUAAUAAAAUGCAACGAGGGUGAUGAGUGUUACAGAAUUGCCUGCAGAGGAAUGUAACAUCUCAAAGAAUCCUAGAGGAAUCUAAAUGUUAAAGCUAUCUUGUUAUUUUCAAGAUAAUGAGAAUAAAAUGGAUCAAACAAUCCAAAUUAGAUAUGCUAAAUGCAGAAGUAGCAUGCAACAGCUGGUUGUAAAUAUUUUGGGUAUCUGAGGAAUGCAAAUGUUAAGUUCUGGUAUAGAUACCCUUUCAAAACUAAGUCAUGGUGAAUUUAGUGGCAGUCAGAAUUUGUCAUUCACCUGCUGGACACGCACAAGAUCAACUAUCCAUAAAAUUAAAACAAAUUGAUGGGAAAUGAAACUCCCUCCAAAAAGGGAGUAAAAAGAAUAUUUUCUACCUCCAUUGGUAACC